RNAcentral lists this ribosomal RNA (497 nucleotides) under uncultured bacterium. RNAcentral's name for it is "partial 16S ribosomal RNA". It matches the Rfam family "Bacterial small subunit ribosomal RNA", at positions 28 to 507 of the family's 1533-position model. The record is from RNAcentral.
GUUGAACGCUGGCGGCGUGCCUUAUACAUGCAAGUCGAGCGAAAAGACGAGGCGCUUGCCUCACUGACGUUAGAGGCGGAAGGGUUAGUAACAAGUGGACAACCUACCUAUAAGACUGUGAUAAAUUCGGGAACUCGGAGCUAAUACGGGAUAUUGUAGAAAACCGCAUGGUUUAAUAGUGAAAGCCGUUUUUGCUGCCACUUUUAGAUGAAUUCGGGCCGCAUUAGCUAGUUGGUCAGGUAAAGGCUUACCAAGUGAACGAUCCGUAGCCGAACUGAGAGGGUGAUCAGCCAAACUGGAACUGAGACACGGUCCAGACUCCUACGGGAGGCAGCAGUAGGGAAUCUUCCGCAAUGGGCGAAAGCCUGACGGAGCAAUGCCGCGUGAAUGAAGAAGGUCUUCGGAUCGUAAAAUUCUGUUAUUAGGGAAGAACAAAUUUUGAAGUAUCUAUGCGCGUCUUGACGGUACCUUAUCAGAAAGCAACGGCUAACUACGUG